Molecule: ribosomal RNA, 508 nt
Filed under: uncultured bacterium
Lineage: Bacteria
Description: bacterial SSU rRNA
Rfam family: Bacterial small subunit ribosomal RNA
Source: RNAcentral
CUGGCUCAGGAUGAACGCUAGCUACAGGCUUAACACAUGCAAGUCGAGGGGCAGCGGAAGUCAGCUGCUGACUUGCCGGCGACCGGCGCACGGGUGAGUAACGCGUAUCCAACCUUCCCCUUAGUAGGGCAUAGCCCGUAGAAAUGCGGAUUAAUACCCUAUGUUGUUCGAUGCGGACAUCUAAGUUGAACCAAAGGUUUACCGCUAAGGGAUGGGGAUGCGUCCGAUUAGGCAGCAGGCGGGGUAACGGCCCACCUGGCCGACGAUCGGUAGGGGUUCUGAGAGGAAGGUCCCCCACAUUGGAACUGAGACACGGUCCAAACUCCUACGGGAGGCAGCAGUGAGGAAUAUUGGUCAAUGGGCGAGAGCCUGAACCAGCCAAGUAGCGUGCCAGGAUGACGGCCCUAUGGGUUGUAAACUGCUUUUAUGCGGGGAUAAAGUGAGGGACGUGUCCCUUAUUGUAGGUACCGCAUGAAUAAGGACCGGCUAAUUCCGUGCCAGCAGCUGC